RNAcentral lists this ribosomal RNA (440 nucleotides) under uncultured bacterium. RNAcentral describes it as "partial 16S ribosomal RNA". It matches the Rfam family "Bacterial small subunit ribosomal RNA", at positions 338 to 795 of the family's 1533-position model. The record is from RNAcentral.
CCUACGGGCGGCAGCAGUGGGGAAUAUUGCACAAUGGGGGAAACCCUGAUGCAGCGACGCCGCGUGAAGGAAGAAGUAUUUCGGUAUGUAAACUUCUAUCAGCAGGGAAGAAAAUGACGGUACCUGACUAAGAAGCCCCGGCUAACUACGUGCCAGCAGCCGCGGUAAUACGUAGGGGGCAAGCGUUAUCCGGAUUUACUGGGUGGAAAGGGAGCGUAGGCGGCGAUGCAAGUCAGAAGUGAAAGCCCGGGGCUCAACUCCGGGACUGCUUUUGAAACUGUAUGGCUAGAGUGCAGGAGAGGCAAGUGGAAUUCCUAGUGUAGCGGUGAAAUGCGUAGAUAUUAGGAGGAACACCAGUGGCGAAGGCGGCUUGCUGGACUGUAAAUGACGCUGAGGCUCGAAAGCGUGGGGAGCAAACAGGAUUAGAUACCCGUGUAGUC